Molecule: unclassified non-coding RNA, 306 nt
Filed under: plant metagenome
Description: partial contains 5.8S ribosomal RNA, internal transcribed spacer 2, and large subunit ribosomal RNA
Rfam family: 5.8S ribosomal RNA (bases 1-105)
Source: RNAcentral
GAAAUGCGAUAAGUAGUGUGAAUUGCAGAAUUCAGUGAAUCAUCGAAUCUUUGAACGCACAUUGCGCCCCUUGGUAUUACAUGGGGCAUGCCUGUUCGAGCGUCAUCUACACCCUCAAGCUCUGCUUGGUGUUGGGCGUCUUUGUCCCGCCUCCGCGCGCGGACUCGCCCCAAAUUCAUUGGCAGCGGUCCUUGCCUCCUCUCGCGCAGCACAUUGCGCUUCUCGAGGUGUUGCGGCCCGCGUCCAGAAAGCAAUCGUUACCGUCUUUGACCUCGGAUCAGGUAGGGAUACCCGCUGAACUUAAGC